Molecule: RNA transcript, 1986 nt
Organism: Oncorhynchus gorbuscha (pink salmon)
Lineage: Eukaryota; Metazoa; Chordata; Actinopteri; Salmoniformes; Salmonidae
Gene name: 4-hydroxyphenylpyruvate dioxygenase-like
Exons: 15
Source: RefSeq, a predicted model, not a curated record
AUAGGAAACCUCAAUGAGUGAACCUCCUCUCGAGGCUAAAUACAAACACAUGGCCGGCCUGACUGUUGAAACGAUUGGGAGUGCAUUAUGUCUGUGUCUUUGCAUUUCAGUUUGAAAUAUAACAUAAGUAGAGAAGACCGGGGGCGUGGAAGUUCGAACUUGAUUCUGAACGUUUAAACACCCGACUUUAUUGUACCGAUUUUCUUUUCAAGCAGUUGAAAGGCUAAGGGUACAGGAUGACUACCUACAUGGACAGAGGUGAAAAGCACGACCACGGCAAGUUCGUCUGUUUCGACCACAUCACAUUCUGGGUUGGAAAUGCCAAACAGGCAGCAUCUUACUAUUGUAACAAGCUUGGAUUUGAACCGUUGGCCUAUCGGGGUUUAGAGACAGGCUGCCGGGAUGUGGUGUCCCAUGUGGUCAAACAAGACAAGAUUAUUUAUGUAUUUGCAUCCGCUCUCAAUCCUGGAAACAAAGAAAUGGGGGAGCAUUUGGUCAAACAUGGGGAUGGAGCCAAGGACAUUGCAUUCACUGUGGAGAACUGUGAUUACCUUGUGCAGAAAGCCAGAGAGCGUGGUGCCAUCAUAGUGAAAGAGCCGUAUGUACUGGAGGACAAAUAUGGCAGGGUAAAACUAGCUGUUCUCCAGACGUAUGGGGACACCACACACACAUUUGUGGAGAGGACGGCCUAUAAUGGGCUGUUCCUCCCAGGGUUCAAUACUCCUCUCCACCGGGACCCCUUGUUGGCCAAGCUACCCAGUGGAUUACUGAACUUCAUUGACCAUGUUGUGGGGAACCAGCCGGAUAAUGAGAUGGUGCCUGUAGUGGAAUGGUACCAGAAAAACCUGCUCUUCCACCGAUUCUGGUCAGUAGACGACAAGCAGUUGCAGACAGACUUCAGUGCACUGCGCUCCAUUGUUGUGGCCAAUUAUGAAGAGACAGUGAAGAUGCCCAUUAAUGAGCCAGCCAUGGGUAAACGCAAGUCCCAGAUCCAGGAGUAUGUGGAGUACUAUGGUGGCCCAGGUGUCCAGCACAUCGCCAUGAACACAUCAGACAUCAUCACCUCAAUCCGUAACCUGAAGGAGCGUGGCAUGGAGUUCAUGUGUGUGCCAGACACCUACUACCAGCUGCUGAGAAAGAAUCUCCAACAAUCGCAAGUCAGGGUCACUGAGGACUUGGACAUUCUGGAGGUUCUUAGCUACGCAGCCAGACAAGCAAUCUUAUGUCCUGUUGCUCUGACAGGAGCUGAAGAUCUUAGUGGAUUUUGAUGACAAUGGCUACCUGCUCCAGAUCUUCACCAAGCCUGUUCAGGACCGUCCCACAGUGUUCCUGGAGGUCAUUCAGAGACACAACCAUCAGGGCUUUGGUGCAGGCAACUUCAAGGCUCUUUUCGAGGCCAUCGAGGCAGACCAGAAUGCUAGAGGAAACUUGACUAUCCUGAAACCUAAUGGAGUGUCUAACCAAAUUUGAAGUACCGCUCUGAUUUUCACGAUUGAUAUAAUGUCCAUCAUCUCUGAAGCUUACAUUUAAUUUAGAACUAUUGAAAAUAAUUUGUUCAACAAUUUAUAUCGGAGGUGAACCAGAAUCUAGUUGAAUGACUUUGAUGGAUAAAUUGCUGCUCUAUGCACACACUAUUCAAAUUUAAAUUAUGAUUGACAUGCCUUCUGGAGUCAAACAUAGGAAUGAUUGUUAAUUAUUCAAAUAAUAUAGUGAUGCUAAAAUAACAUAAAAAUAUAUUUGACUUGAUGCCAAUUUUAAAUACAGUGAUUUCAGAAAGUAUUCAUACCCCUUGACUUAUUCAACAUUUUGUUGUGUUUCAGCCUGAAUUCAAAAUGGAUUAAAACAAUUAUAAUUGUCACCCGUCAUAUGAAGAGUGGUACUCAGUGAUGUGUUGGAUUUGCCCCAAACAUAACGCUUUGUAUUCAGGAUAUAAAGUACAUUUCUUUGCUGUAUUUUUUAAGUUUUACUUUAGUGCUUCAUUGCAAA